This 292-nucleotide ribosomal RNA is filed under the name uncultured bacterium. RNAcentral describes it as "partial 16S ribosomal RNA". It matches the Rfam family "Bacterial small subunit ribosomal RNA", at positions 505 to 796 of the family's 1533-position model. The record is from RNAcentral.
GUGUCAGCAGCCGCGGUAAUACGGAGGAUGCAAGCGUUAUCCGGAAUUAUUGGGCGUAAAGCGUCCGUAGGUGGUUAAUCAAGUCUAUUGUCAAAGCCUGGGGCUUAACCCUGGAGAGGCGGUGGAAACUGGUUAACUUGAGUGCGGUAGGGGCAGAGGGAAUUCCCAGUGUAGCGGUGAAAUGCGUAGAUAUUGGGAAGAACACCGGUGGCGAAAGCGCUCUGCUGGGCCUGCACUGACACUGAGGGACGAAAGCUAGGGGAGCGAAAGGGAUUAGAAACCCCGGUAGUCC